RNAcentral lists this long non-coding RNA (347 nucleotides) under Micromonas commoda. RNAcentral describes it as "long non-coding RNA (MCOM_LNC000199)". The record is from RNAcentral. Lineage: Eukaryota; Viridiplantae; Chlorophyta; Mamiellophyceae; Mamiellales; Mamiellaceae.
CCCCCCAGCCCGAGUACUACAUGUUUGUCGCCAUCGGCAUCGGCUGCGUCGCCGGUUACUUCCUCACCGACAUGGUCAAGAAGGCUGCGCUCACCCUCAUCUACUCCGUCCUCGGCGGCGUCCUCCUCGGCUCUGCCGUUUCCUUCACCUUCUGGAAGUACCACCUGGCCCACGGCGACCUCUGGCUCGAGAACAUCACCUCCAACGACGUCACCCUCGACCUCACCCAGUGGCCGGUGCUCGUGUCCAUCGGCACCAUGGUGGCUGGCGCGCUGUUCGGCAUCUGGUUCCAGAACAAGAGCGCGAAGAAGGCUGAGAAGGAGCCCCUCCUCAAGAAGGGCGACGAC